GGACCCGCACAAGUAGUGGAGCAUGUGGUUUAAUUCGAAGAUACGCGCAGAACCUUACCAACACUUGACAUGUUCGUCGCGACUUUAAGAGAUUAAAGUUUUCGGUUCGGCCGGACGAAACACAGGUGCUGCAUGGCUGUCGUCAGCUCGUGUCGUGAGAUGUUGGUUAAGUCCCGCAACGAGCGCAACCCUCACUUUUAGUUGCCAUCAUUAAGUUGGGCACUCUGAAAGAACUGCCAGUGAUAAGCUGGAGGAAGGUGGGGAUGACGUCAAGUCCUCAUGGCCCUUACGUGUUGGGCUACACACGUGCUACAAUGGUAUCUACAGUGAGUUAAUCUCCAAAAGAUGUCUCAUUCGGA
This 359-nucleotide ribosomal RNA is filed under the name uncultured bacterium. RNAcentral's name for it is "bacterial SSU rRNA". It matches the Rfam family "Bacterial small subunit ribosomal RNA", at positions 917 to 1297 of the family's 1533-position model. The record is from RNAcentral.